RNAcentral lists this ribosomal RNA (150 nucleotides) under Populus alba (white poplar). Its description in RNAcentral is "partial 26S ribosomal RNA". It matches the Rfam family "Eukaryotic large subunit ribosomal RNA", at positions 2461 to 2613 of the family's 3401-position model. Lineage: Eukaryota; Viridiplantae; Streptophyta; Magnoliopsida; Malpighiales; Salicaceae. The record is from RNAcentral.
UAGGAUAAGUGGGAGCUUCGGCGAAGGUGAAAUACCACUACUUUUAACGUUAUUUUACUUAUUCCGUGAAUCGGAGGCGGGGCGCUGCCCCUCUUUUUGGGACCCAAGGCCGCUUCGGCGGCCGAUCCGGGCGGAAGACAUGGUCAGGUU